This 430-nucleotide ribosomal RNA is filed under the name uncultured bacterium. RNAcentral describes it as "partial 16S ribosomal RNA". It matches the Rfam family "Bacterial small subunit ribosomal RNA", at positions 29 to 506 of the family's 1533-position model. The record is from RNAcentral.
AACGAACGCUGGCGGCAGGCUUAACACAUGCAAGUCGAGCGCCCCGCCAGGGGCGCGGCCGACGGGUGAGUAACGCGUGGGAACGUACCUUUUGGUUCGGAACAACUCCGGGAAACUGGAGCUAAUACCGGAUAAGCCCUAACGGGGAAAGAUUUAUCGCCGAAAGAUCGGCCCGCGUCUGAUUAGCUAGUUGGUGAGGUAACGGCUCACCAAGGCGACGAUCAGUAGCUGGUCUGAGAGGAUGAUCAGCCACACUGGGACUGCGACACGGCCCAGACUCCUACGGGAGGCAGCAGUGGGGAAUAUUGGACAAUGGGCGCAAGCCUGAUCCAGCCAUGCCGCGUGAGUGAUGAAGGCCUUAGGGUUGUAAAGCUCUUUUGUCCGGGAAGAUAAUGACUGUACCGGAAGAAUAAGCCCCGGCUAACUUCGU